CCGCGUGCCUUGUCAUGCGAUCUCGAGCGGACGAUUCACAAGCUUGCUUUUGGAUCGUUAGCGGCGGACGGGUGAGUAACACGUGGGCAACCUGCCCUGUAGACGGGGAUAACACCGAGAAAUCGGUGCUAAUACCGGAUAACACGAAAGGUCGCAUGGUCUUUCGUUGAAAGACGGCGCAAGCUGUCGCUACAGGAUGGGCCCGCGGCGCAUUAGCUAGUUGGUGAGGUAACGGCUCACCAAGGCGACGAUGCGUAGCCGACCUGAGAGGGUGAUCGGCCACACUGGGACUGAGACACGGCCCAGACUCCUACGGGAGGCAGCAGUAGGGAAUCUUCCGCAAUGGACGAAAGUCUGACGGAGCAACGCCGCGUGAGCGAAGAAGGCCUUCGGGUCGUAAAGCUCUGUUGUUAGGGAAGAACAAGUACCGCAGUCACUGGCGGUACCUUGACGGUACCUAACGAGGAAACCUCUGUNUAACUACGUGCCCAUCACCGCGG
RNAcentral lists this ribosomal RNA (500 nucleotides) under Anoxybacillus sp. TSB-9. RNAcentral's name for it is "bacterial SSU rRNA". It matches the Rfam family "Bacterial small subunit ribosomal RNA", at positions 40 to 520 of the family's 1533-position model. The record is from RNAcentral. Lineage: Bacteria; Bacillati; Bacillota; Bacilli; Caryophanales; Anoxybacillaceae.